This 497-nucleotide ribosomal RNA is filed under the name uncultured bacterium. Its description in RNAcentral is "partial 16S ribosomal RNA". It matches the Rfam family "Bacterial small subunit ribosomal RNA", at positions 28 to 507 of the family's 1533-position model. The record is from RNAcentral.
GAUGAACGCUGGCGGCGUGCCUAAUACAUGCAAGUCGAGCGAACAGACGAGGAGCUUGCUCCUCUGACGUUAGCGGCGGACGGGUGAGUAACACGUGGAUAACCUACCUAUAAGACUGGGAUAACUUCGGGAAACCGGAGCUAAUACCGGAUAAUAUAUUGAACCGCAUGGUUCAAUAGUGAAAGACGGUUUUGCUGUCACUUAUAGAUGGAUCCGCGCCGCAUUAGCUAGUUGGUAAGGUAACGGCUUACCAAGGCGACGAUGCGUAGCCGACCUGAGAGGGUGAUCGGCCACACUGGAACUGAGACACGGUCCAGACUCCUACGGGAGGCAGCAGUAGGGAAUCUUCCGCAAUGGGCGAAAGCCUGACGGAGCAACGCCGCGUGAGUGAUGAAGGUCUUCGGAUCGUAAAACUCUGUUAUUAGGGAAGAACAAAUGUGUAAGUAACUAUGCACGUCUUGACGGUACCUAAUCAGAAAGCCAGGGCUAACUACGUG